GGUAGUACGGCCCCGGGUUGUAAACCUCUUUCAGCAGGGACGAAGCGCAAGUGACGGUACCUGCAGAAGAAGCACCGGCCAACUACGUGCCAGCAGCCGCGGUAAGACGUAGGGUGCGAGCGUUGUCCGGAUUUAUUGGGCGUAAAGAGCUCGUAGGCGGCUUGUCGCGUCGACCGUGAAAACUUGGGGCUCAACCCCAAGCCUGCGGUCGAUACGGGCAGGCUAGAGUUCGGUAGGGGAGACUGGAAUUCCUGGUGUAGCGGUGAAAUGCGCAGAUAUCAGGAGGAACACCGGUGGCGAAGGCGGGUCUCUGGGCCGAUACUGACGCUGAGGAGCGAAAGCGUGGGGAGCGAACAGGAUUAGAUACCCUGGUAGUCCACGCUGUAAACGUUGGGCGCUAGGUGUGGGGGGCCUCUCCGGUUCCCUGUGCCGCAGCUAACGCAUUAAGCGCCCCGCCUGGGGAGUACGGCCGCAAGGCUAAAACUCAUAGGAAUUGACGGGGGCCCGCACAAGCGGCGGAGCAUGCGGAUUAAUUCGAUGCAACGCGAAGAACCUUACCUGGGUUUGACAUGGCCGCAAAACUUCCAGAGAUGGGAGGUCCUUCGGGG
This 608-nucleotide ribosomal RNA is filed under the name Micromonospora sp. Ri3Ps_5338. RNAcentral describes it as "bacterial SSU rRNA". It matches the Rfam family "Bacterial small subunit ribosomal RNA", at positions 405 to 1025 of the family's 1533-position model. The record is from RNAcentral. Lineage: Bacteria; Bacillati; Actinomycetota; Actinomycetes; Micromonosporales; Micromonosporaceae.